CGGAACCAGCAGGGGGCACGCUGAGGGCAGGGGGUCUGCCUGUUGUCGAAGCCCUUCCAUGUGGAGCACUUUGUUUCCCCAGAGUGGGCCUCGGAGUACGUGUGCGUGUGGUGUGGUAUCGGCGUGCGGUGCAUGAGCCUGUGGUGUGUGUGUCUGUGGUGUGGAAUGCGUGUGACUGUGUGUGCUGUGUGUGUGGUAUGUAUGCAUCUGUGGUGUGUAGGAGAUCUGCGUGUGUGGUGUGCCUGUGAGGGUGUGUGUGUGUGUCUGUGUAAGCACGUGUGUACGCAUGUGAUGUUCUUGGCUUUGUAAGGAAGGGGCCUUUCCUGAGUUUUUUACCCCGGGCCCGCAGCCGGCAGUCUCGCCGUGUCGGCAUCCGGCCAGCCUCGCCUGAGUGCUUCAGGCCCUGGCACCUGCGCCUUUUGGAUCUUCGACCCGCUUCCCAGGGAAAAAGCAAGACUUUGCCCCGAGAUAGGAAGAUGCCAGCUGCAUUCCUUGCUUCAAAGCAAACCAGCCUUUCCUGAGCUCCACAAUGAGAAGCCCCACCUUUUUCCUGGCCUGAAUGUUUACUCCUUUUCCUCAAGCGUCUAGAGACUGGGGUUGAGCUCUCCUCACUUCAGCCUCUUUCCAGCCGCCUGGGUCAGGGGCAUUCCCAGCUGCGGCCUCCCCGGCCUUCCCAGCUCCCAGAGAUCAGGUGGGACCCGCUGUGCAGGCUCAGGGGGGAUCUGCCAAUGAACUUGCCCCUCAUUUCUUGCCUGCUGCCUCAGAGUCUCCAGGUUAAACCUCCUCAGUCUGCAUGGGAUCAACAGAGCUUUCGUAAAUGCUCUCUACACAGUGUGGUUUGCCACGUGGGAGGGCCCUCCGGGCCACCAGCUGGAAUAUUUCCAGUCAGAUUUCCUCUGGGUGGGGGGUGGGGGGGGACCCAGAAUGAUCAUCCUGCAGUGACCUGUGUCCAUCCUGGGACAAGGGUCUGGGGUUGCGCUGGCUGCCGUGAGGUCCCUCUGUUCUCCCUCCUAGGCAGGGGAUUUUGUCCCACGGUGACUUUCAAGGGAAGAAAAAAGCAGAUUUGGAAUGAAGUCUCCAGGACUCGCUGCCGUUCUGAGGGAUUAUUCUCCUCCUUAAUUACUUCUGAGCCAUAUGCCUUCCCCCGCUCCCGGGCCUGUUUGACGGUAACAGGAGGUGAAUGGCCACAAAGGCAAUGGACCUUUACUCUCACACCGCUAGCGGACGUCCAUAUGCUGCUGGAUCCAUCUGACCUGCUGCCCAAACUCCACAGAUUCGGCACCAUCUCCGGGGGGACACAGUGGACACAGAGCCCGAGGAGGGUCCUGGCCAGUCUACUCUGAGGUGUUACACUAGGAGUGCUAUUUCAUCUUGGAGUUGGGCAAUUUCAAGAAGCAUUUACAAAGCCUCACAAAAAGAAAACUUGAUCUACUUCAGGAGUGGAUUCCAUUCUGAUGAGCUCUUCGGAGAGAUAUGGAAGGGAAAAGUAGGACAUUGUGAAAUCAAACCAACAAUUACAAUGUCUUAUAACUCCAACUUGGUUGGCAAUUAUUGGUUCAAGUCACACUUUCCACAGGGUCAGUGUCUCAGAACAGUGUUCUUCAAAAAUUACACAGCCACUUGUUAAAUAUGCAUAAACCAGAUUUAUUUCCAUCUGCCCCAGUAUGUGUGCCCUCCCCCCCCAAUCAGCUGGCCCUACUCCCUGCUCCUGGCUCUUUCUCUUUCCAUGGCUUUGUUAUUUCUGUGUUUUUGUUUUUGCCAGGGAUGCCCUGCCCCUUAUCUAGUCCAGGGACAUCCUGAGAAGCAUUUAAAUUCACCUUGAGGUCCCCUUUCUCACUGUCAGUAUCCUCUCUUUGUUCAUAUGUGCAAGUUUUGUCUUCCCAAUUACUCGUCAUUGCAUGGGUGGUUCAGUGGUAGAAUUCUCGCCUGCCAAUUACUCGUCAUUGAAUGUGGGCCAGCGGCAACAGUCUUAUCCCAAUUUUAUAGCCCCCAGCAAAGGGUAGUACAAAGGACAGAGCUCCUGAUCAGUGGACUGCAAACCCAGUCAAUUUCCAGAAUCACCUGAGCUGUUCUUAAAAAUAUCUACUAAGUGAAAAUCUCUGGAGGGGAGGUCCAAGAAUCAGCUUUUCACAUUUUUUUUAAAUGUUUAAAUUUUUUUUAAUGUCACAGGUGUUAAGUCUGAUUAUAGGUCAGAUUUGAGAAUGCCCAAUGAUGUGAAAGGACUCUGUGUCAAGUUUUUGGCAGUUCAGUGAUAGAGCUUCUGAGCCUUUGACUUGUUCUAACAAAACCAAAAGGCUUUCUUCCUAAGAGGUGCUCCGUGAGUCCUGACCACUGGAGUCCAUGAAAACAUUUAGCUGCUAUGAUGCUACACGCAUGGAGAUAUUGGCUUUCUCUUCCCCAGAGAUAUUUAUGUCUUUCCUUACUUCGCAUCACAUCCACCUCCAAACUAAACACCACUGGUCUUACUAGCCAGUUGAUUUUGCAUCCAGAUGAAUGGGCUUUGCUUGGCAACUAUCAUUUUCCAUCUCUCCUGCUAUAAAAGAUGGCUUUUCCUUGGCCAACAUACAGGACAAGUUCUCUUCAGCUUCAGUGCUUAGUAAUGGUUUUGUUCAUGACAUGCUUGUCCAUUCUCAGAAGGGACAAUCCCAACCACUGUCAUUACCACUUUACCAUGCUCUCUUAGACAGUGCCCCCCUUAAAUGUGGUGCUGGGCCAUUCAUCUGUGCCAGUACAGCUCAGACUGCAGACUAACCUGUAGACACAUGCAGCCAGCUUUUGCUCAGAGGUUUGCCUGCAGUCUUUCUAAUCUGUGGUUUGGACUCUCCUAUAAGCCCCUCACCUUGGGCCUAGGAUAUUCUUUAAUAUGUUGACAUGAAAAAUUUUCUGAAUUUGAAGCCAUCAAAUUUCACUUCUCAUGUGCUAUCCAUUUCUUGUCUUAUAGCUUACCGUAAGGACAUAAUAUCAAUAUUAAUAAAACCAUUUAUUGAGAACCUAAUAUGUGUGAGACAAUGUACUAGGUAGGUUCUGGGACUGCAAAGAUUCAUAAGAUAAGGUUCUUGCUCGAGAGAUGACCACACUCUGAUGAGAAAUAAAGGAUUCCAUUCAUAAAAAAGCAAUUUACAAAGACACACAGCAGAUAUCAAGCCUAAGAUAAAUGGCUCAGGCACUAACCACACUUAGGAUUAGAAGGAGGACUUGAUUAUGCAGUGCUUGAAAGCCUGGGGGCAGGGAGGGAACUUGCUGUAUAUAACAUGCAGGCUGGCAUACAGCAGGUACUCAGUAAAUGCCUGCCAAACUAAUAAAUGAAUGACCAGCUGGAUGGUGGUAAGAUAGGAAGAGGGCCUUAGAAUAUAGGUGGCCCAUAUUGAGGGGAAGGACACACACACACACACACACACACACACACACACACAUACACCCCACAGCUGCUUUAUCAAUGAAGCAUGAUCCUGUUUCAUCAGGGAGUAACAUGAGUGAGAAAUUUAGGAAAAUAUAGCUCUGUUAAGGUCAAUCUUUUUAUUGUUGGGAAUCGUUAACUGGGCAAUAACUAAAUUAAUAACACUAAAUAUUGUUUAUUUAGUAAGUAAAUUAUCAGUAAGCAAAUUAUUAGUAAUUUAAGAAGUAAAUUCUUUUCACUAGAUGAACUCUCACUGUGUAAAUUCAUUGGUUCGCCAUCUCACAGGGACUCAAAGGACAGGCCUUUGUAUAGAUGCCUUUGCUGAGCUACGUUUGGUCACUACCUGAUUUACUUUAUAAGCAACUCAUUUCUAUUCCACCUUGCCCCAAAAC
RNAcentral lists this long non-coding RNA (3789 nucleotides) under Mustela putorius furo (domestic ferret). Its description in RNAcentral is "lncRNA (ENSMPUG00000030589.1)". The record is from RNAcentral. Lineage: Eukaryota; Metazoa; Chordata; Mammalia; Carnivora; Mustelidae.